Small RNA from Cyanothece sp., 77 nucleotides. It matches the Rfam family "CyVA-1 RNA". Rfam says of the family: Cyanobacteria, Acidobacteria (1 example), Verrucomicrobia (1 example). The record is from Rfam. Lineage: Bacteria; Bacillati; Cyanobacteriota; Cyanophyceae; Gomontiellales; Cyanothecaceae.
UUGCUGGAAGGGGGUUUUGCCGUUGUGACCCUUUGUUAUUUGCCGAAGGAGAGCGACGACAAGCAAAUAGAUAGUAA